Molecule: RNase P RNA, 279 nt
Filed under: Agrilus planipennis (emerald ash borer)
Lineage: Eukaryota; Metazoa; Arthropoda; Insecta; Coleoptera; Buprestidae
Description: Nuclear RNase P
Rfam family: Nuclear RNase P
About the family: Ribonuclease P (RNase P) is a ubiquitous endoribonuclease, found in archaea, bacteria and eukarya as well as chloroplasts and mitochondria. Its best characterised activity is the generation of mature 5'-ends of tRNAs by cleaving the 5'-leader elements of precursor-tRNAs.
Source: Rfam by way of RNAcentral
UCUGUGAUAAUCUCACAUUUGGAGCUUCCAACAGAGUAUCUGUUACUCAGUAAUUAGCUUCGGGAAGGUCUGAGUGAGCCAUUUAUUCUCUAGAUGAGAACUUGUGUGUUACAAGGCUGGGGAACCAGAAAUAUGCAUGAAAAGCUUAUUUUAGCCUGGGACUGUUUUUAAACAUGAGGUGAAGAGCUUAGCAUGUUGGAAUCCCCAGUGGCCGGCAAUUUUAGUGCAAUUUGUGAGCUGGCAUUUGUCAGAACUCAAUUCAGACUAGUCUGUCACAGA